Molecule: ribosomal RNA, 326 nt
Filed under: uncultured eukaryote
Lineage: Eukaryota
Description: partial 18S ribosomal RNA
Rfam family: Eukaryotic small subunit ribosomal RNA
Source: RNAcentral
CCCUUAGAUGUUCUGGGCCGCACGCGCGCUACACUGAUGCAUUCAACAAGCCUAGCCUUGACCGAGAGGUCCGGGUAAUCUUUGAAACUGCAUCGUGAUGGGGCUAGAUUAUUGCAAUUAUUAAUCUUCAACGAGGAAUGCCUAGUAAGCGUGAUUCAUCAAAUCGCGUUGAUUACGUCCCUGCCCUUUGUACACACCGCCCGUCGCUCCUACCGAUUGAAUGUGUUAGUGAGGAGCUCGGAUUGGCAGCAGUUGGUGGUUCGCCACCGGCUAUUGCUGAGAAGUCCUCCAAACCGCCCCAUUUAGAGGAAGGAGAAGUCGUAACA